Long non-coding RNA from Passer domesticus (house sparrow), 1477 nucleotides. RefSeq lists it as uncharacterized. The transcript is spliced from 3 exons. The record is from RefSeq and is a predicted model, not a curated record. Lineage: Eukaryota; Metazoa; Chordata; Aves; Passeriformes; Passeridae.
CUGGAGCAGCUGCUCGACUUCUCCGGAGAGUUCUUUCCCUCCUCAGAAAAUUUGACCGGGAGGUGAAUACUCUUAAAGUCACAACCAGCCAGCUCAUGCAGUCUCACCCUGGCCUUCCAGAUCAGCUGAGCUAUUAGCUAUGGUGGCUGUGUGAUGGUUUUGGAUUGCUGGUGAGAGAGGAAAACCCACUCUAUGAUUAAGAGUGAAUCCUUCUGCCCUUCAAUCCAUUGGAAUAUCAAGUAUGGAAGCUUUCCCAGGACAAUGAAUUUGAAAGGCAGCUCGGGCUGAUAACGAUGAGCCUGCCUCUCAGCCAAAGCCUCCUGUGCUUUUUGGAUUGCCUCUGGGGUCAGUUCCCUGGGAGAAAUUAGCUCUCUCUCCCCCUUCAAUAAAUUGAGGGGGGAAUCAGUAGCAGGCCCAGGGCCUGCAAGGCCUCCUUGGAGGUCAGAAGCCUGAGCUAGGAAAUGCCAAGUCAUGAUGACUGGGCCUUAGAAGCCCCUCUGUUCCGGCUUUUGGACCCUGGUAUCUCUCUGUAAGCCUAUAGGUCACCUUCCCUUGACCCUUAUUAUUGGACAAUUUCCAAAACUCCUGUAAGGUGUAUAAACCCCUAAUUCUGCCUGGUUUAGCAGAAGAGCUGUCACUGAGAACCUUUGUGGAGAUCCCCAAUAAAGAAUUCUUCGUAACCUCACACAGCACUUCUCUCUCUCCUGGCAUCUGCUGCAGCACCUAGCAAGCUAAAGAGCUGAAAUCACAAAGAGCUGAUAAUCACUUGAGCUUGCUUAAGGUUGCCUGUGGCUAGCAGCUGCUUGGGAACUCGGACACUGUGCUGAGCACCACUGAGCUAUCCUGGCCAUGUCAACUGUAAGCAUAGCCCAGCUGGAAGCUGCCCAAUAGGGAUCUAGGUCCUCGUUGGUGAGGCCUAGCCAGGGCCUGACCUAGUUCAAAGACCCACACAGGGAAUGGAGAUCUGCUAGGGUUUGGGGAUCACUACUGAUUUCCAAUUUCUGCAGAACAACAGUCUGUGCAGUUAUCUCCAAGCCCAGCCUUGGGCAAGCUUUCUUCAGUGCCAGUUCUACAGGGCCUCCUGACAGUGGGACAGAGAGAUGGUGUCUUGAAAAAUUAAACCAUAUGAGAAAUUUGUAGCUGAAAGAAAACCUGACUGUUGGAAUGAAUUUCAGCUUUCACCUGGAGACCUGAAGAAAACUACUCCUCAUGAGGCAUCUCACUUGCUGCUUUCCUUAUAACAUCUUUAUUGUAAUUUCCUUUCUUUUUACAAUGAUGUUCUAAAAAAAGCACUGCAACCAGCUGUAGUGUGGAGAAUAUAUAAACACAAAAUAUAUUAUCUGUAAGCAUCCAGAAUAUUGUAUUGCUAUGCCUUGAAACUAUGACUGCAUUAAAAAACUGAAAGUUUUAAUGGAAAAAUACAUUUUGAAAGUUGCCCUUGAAAACACACUGAAUAAAUCUUUGAGUUGUGAUGGUU